CCCUUAGACGUUCUGGGCCGCACGCGCGCUACACUGACGAAGGCAACGAGCUUUCCUUUACCGAAAGGUACGGGUAAUCUUUUGAAACUUCGUCGUGCUGGGGAUAGAUCCUUGCAAUUUUUGAUCUUAAACGAGGAAUGCCUAGUAAGCGCAAGUCAUCAACUUACGUUGAUUACGUCCCUGCCCUUUGUACACACCGCCCGUCGCUACUACCGAUUGAAUGGUUUAGUGAGGCCUUCGGAUCCGCGACUCGUUUGUGGAGAAGUUGGACAAACUCAGUCAUUUAGAGGAAGUAAAAGUCGUAACA
This 307-nucleotide ribosomal RNA is filed under the name uncultured eukaryote. RNAcentral's name for it is "partial 18S ribosomal RNA". It matches the Rfam family "Eukaryotic small subunit ribosomal RNA", at positions 1470 to 1796 of the family's 1831-position model. The record is from RNAcentral.